CGUGGGAUAGCGUGAAUGAUUUCAUCGUACUUUGGGUCAGGUCUUGGGAGGUUGUCGAGGUAGGUGAGUUGCUGGGUUUCUUCUAGUAGAGCGGCGGUGGCGAAGCGGCGGAGGUGAUUAUGGAGAAGGGUUUGAUUCAAAAGUGAGCGUCGGAUCAGCAUUUGAUCUGUGAAGCGCAGUGAGAGGUGUUGAGGUCGGAUCAGCAUUUGAUCUGUGAAGCGCGGUGAGAGGGGUUGAGGUCAAGUGAGUUGGAUUGGGGGUUAAGGACGGUUUUGAGGUUGAGCUGUGGGCUGUGGGCUGUGGAGGGAGGGGGAGGGAGAGGGAGAGGAGUAUUUUGGCACAGAGUAUUAGAGAUACAGAAGGUCUGAUGUGGUAAAGAGUGCAAAAAUUUGGGCCCAUUAUGAAGUUGGUAUUUUAUUGGG
Molecule: long non-coding RNA, 422 nt
Filed under: Olea europaea (common olive)
Lineage: Eukaryota; Viridiplantae; Streptophyta; Magnoliopsida; Lamiales; Oleaceae
Description: long non-coding RNA (OEUR_LNC005192)
Source: RNAcentral